AUUUAAUAGAAAUUAUAAGGUGUGCAAGCUUAAUAGGGAAUCCCGUUCAAAUCGGGAGCGGUCCCGCCGCUGUAACCCCGCCUUUUCUUAUUGAGAAAAGGAACCCGGUCAGCCUUGUGUGCCACUGUUUCGUCGUAACGGGAUGGGAAGGUCGCUGAGCGGGCGGGGGAGUCAGAAGACCUGCCUUAGCCAUACGCCACGA
This 202-nucleotide non-coding RNA is filed under the name Nitrospinota bacterium. Lineage: Bacteria; Pseudomonadati; Nitrospinota. The record is from RNAcentral.